Molecule: long non-coding RNA, 953 nt
Organism: Oncorhynchus keta (chum salmon)
Lineage: Eukaryota; Metazoa; Chordata; Actinopteri; Salmoniformes; Salmonidae
Exons: 3
Source: RefSeq, a predicted model, not a curated record
UGUAGCCCCAUGGUAUGAAAUACACCUUUUAUACCUUCUGACAGUUUACAGAAAAGGAGGUUUGGUCCCGAAAUGGAGAUGUACCUACUGAACAGCCAAUAAGAACGUUCUGGAUGGAGGGACUGGCCCAAUGCCAUGCUUAACGCCGGGGACCAAGACGCUGUGGGACAACUUUGAGCGCAGGGUGAUUGACGGAAGUCAUAAAACCAAAGUGCCGGCACUAGAUUUUUGUGGGGAAGAUGUUCAAGAUGGAGGUGUGGGAGAAGCUGCUGACCUCCAUGAGGAUCGGAGAGGUGGCCGAGUUCUGGUGUGAUGGCGUUGACAAUGACCCAACACACCUCCAGGCUGUGUAAGGGCUAUUUGACCAAGAAGGAGAGUGAUGGGAGUGCUACAUCAGAUGACCUGGCCACCACAAUCACCUGACCUCAACCCAAUUGAGAUGGUUUGAGAUGAGUUGGACCGCAGAGUGAAGGAAAAGCAGCCAUCAAUUGCUCAGAAUAUGUGGGACCUCCUUCAAGACGGUUGGAAAAGCAUUCCAGGUGAAGCUGGUUGAGAGAAUGCCAAGAGUGUGCAAAGCUGUCAUCAAGGCAAAUGGUGGCUCCUUUGAAGAAUCUCAAAUCUGAAUAUAUAUUUUGAUUUGUUUAACACUUUUUUUGGUUACUACAUAAUUCCAUAUGUGUUCUUUCAUAGUUUUGAUGUCUUCACUAUUAGUCUACAAUGUAGAAAAUAGUAAAUAUGAAGAAAAACACUUGAAUGAGUAGGUGUGUCCAAACUUUUGACUGGCACUGUAUAUAUAGGGGUAAGGUGACUAGGCAUCAGGAUAUAUGUUAAACAGAGAAGCUGUAGCGUAAAUGAUGAUUGUAUGUGAGUGUAUGUGUAGAGUCAGUAUAAAUAUAUGUGGGUGUUAUGUAUGUGUUGGAAUGUCAGUGUGUGCGAGUGUGUAGAGUCCUGUG